CCUACGGGGGGCUGCAGUGAGGAAUAUUGCGCAAUGGGGGCAACCCUGACGCAGCAACGCCGCGUGAGUGAGGAAGGUUUUCGGAUUGUAAAGCUCUGUCGAGCGGAAAGAAAUGCAUGGUGGCUAAUAUCCAUCAUGCUUGACGGUACCGCUAAAGGAAGCACCGGCUAACUCCGUGCCAGCAGCCGCGGUAAUACGGGGGGUGCAAGCGUUGGUAAAAAUCGUUGGGGCGGAUAGACAAGUCGGAUGUGAAAUCCCUGGGCUUAACCCAGGAAGUGCAUUUGAAACUGUCCUGCUAGAGUAAGGGAGAGGAAAGUGGAAUUCCUGGUGUAGAGGUGAAAUUCGUAGAUAUCAGGAGGAACACCGGUGGCGAAGGCGACUUUCUGGCCCUAUACUGACGCUGAGACGCGAAAGCGUGGGUAGCAAACAGGAUUAGAUACCCGUGUAGUC
This 450-nucleotide ribosomal RNA is filed under the name uncultured bacterium. RNAcentral describes it as "partial 16S ribosomal RNA". It matches the Rfam family "Bacterial small subunit ribosomal RNA", at positions 338 to 795 of the family's 1533-position model. The record is from RNAcentral.